Molecule: ribosomal RNA, 253 nt
Filed under: uncultured bacterium
Lineage: Bacteria
Description: partial 16S ribosomal RNA
Rfam family: Bacterial small subunit ribosomal RNA
Source: RNAcentral
UACGUAGGGUGCGAGCGUUGUCCGGAAUUAUUGGGCGUAAAGAGCUCGUAGGCGGUUUGUCGCGUCGACUGUGAAAACCCGGGGCUCAACUCCGGGCCUGCAUUCGAUACGGGCAGACUAGAGUUCGGUAGGGGAGACUGGAAUUCCUGGUGUAGCGGUGAAAUGCGCAGAUAUCAGGAGGAACACCGGUGGCGAAGGCGGGUCUCUGGGCCGAUACUGACGCUGAGGAGCGAAAGCGUGGGGAGCGAACAGG